Molecule: ribosomal RNA, 494 nt
Filed under: uncultured bacterium
Lineage: Bacteria
Description: partial 16S ribosomal RNA
Rfam family: Bacterial small subunit ribosomal RNA
Source: RNAcentral
AUGAUCGCUGGCGGCGUGCCUAAUACAUGCAAGUAGAACGCUGAAGGAGGAGCUUGCUCUUCUGGAUGAGUUGCGAACGGGUGAGUAACGCGUAGGUAACCUGCCUGGUAGCGGGGGAUAACUAUUGGAAACGAUAGCUAAUACCGCAUGACAACAGUUAUUGCAUGAUAACUGUUUAAAAGGGGCAACUGCUCCACUACCAGAUGGACCUGCGUUGUAUUAGCUAGUUGGUGAGGUAACGGCUCACCAAGGCGACGAUACAUAGCCGACCUGAGAGGGUGAUCGGCCACACUGGGACUGAGACACGGCCCAGACUCCUACGGGAGGCAGCAGUAGGGAAUCUUCGGCAAUGGACGGAAGUCUGACCGAGCAACGCCGCGUGAGUGAAGAAGGUUUUCGGAUCGUAAAGCUCUGUUGUAAGAGAAGAACGAGUGUGAGAGUGGAAAGUUCACACUGUGACGGUAUCUUACCAGAAAGGGACGGCUAACUACGUG